AAUGAACGCUGGCGGCGUGCCUAACACAUGCAAGUCGGAUGUGCCGCAAGGUGCAUGGCAGACGGGUGAGUAACGCGUGGGGAACCUACCUCUUCGUGGGGAAUAACGAUCCGAAAGGAUUGGUAAUACCGCAUGAGACCGACGGCUGGGAUGCUGUCGGUGAAAGCUGGGGACCGGAAACGGCCUGGCGCGAGGAGAGGGUCCUGCGUCUGAUUAGCUAGUUGGUGGGGUAACGGCCUACCAAGGCAUCGAUCAGUAGCCGGCCUGAGAGGGUGAUCGGCCACACUGGAACUGAGACACGGUCCAGACUCCUACGGGAGGCAGCAGUGGGGAAUUUUGCGCAAUGGACGAAAGUCUGACGCAGCAACGCCGCGUCGGGUGAGUGAAGGUCUUCGGA
This 397-nucleotide ribosomal RNA is filed under the name uncultured bacterium. Its description in RNAcentral is "bacterial SSU rRNA". It matches the Rfam family "Bacterial small subunit ribosomal RNA", at positions 29 to 422 of the family's 1533-position model. The record is from RNAcentral.